This 43-nucleotide ribosomal RNA is filed under the name Macrodiplodiopsis desmazieri. RNAcentral describes it as "partial 18S ribosomal RNA". It matches the Rfam family "Eukaryotic small subunit ribosomal RNA", at positions 1789 to 1831 of the family's 1831-position model. Lineage: Eukaryota; Fungi; Ascomycota; Dothideomycetes; Pleosporales. The record is from RNAcentral.
UCGUAACAAGGUUUCUGUAGGUGAACCUGCGGAAGGAUCAUUA